UACGGAGGGUGCGAGCGUUAAUCGGAAUUACUGGGCGUAAAGGGUGCGUAGGUUGUUUGAUAAGUUAUCUGUGAAAUACCUGAGCUUAACUUAGGGGAGUCAGAUAAGACUGUUGGACUGGAGUAUAGGAGAGGGUAGUGGAAUUUCCGGUGUAGCGGUGAAAUGCGUAGAGAUCGGAAGGAACACCAGUGGCGAAGGCGGCUACCUGGCCUGAUACUGACACUGAGGCACGAAAGCGUGGGGAGCAAACAGG
Molecule: ribosomal RNA, 253 nt
Filed under: uncultured bacterium
Lineage: Bacteria
Description: partial 16S ribosomal RNA
Rfam family: Bacterial small subunit ribosomal RNA
Source: RNAcentral